This 465-nucleotide ribosomal RNA is filed under the name uncultured bacterium. Its description in RNAcentral is "partial 16S ribosomal RNA". It matches the Rfam family "Bacterial small subunit ribosomal RNA", at positions 28 to 507 of the family's 1533-position model. The record is from RNAcentral.
GACGAACGCUGGCGGCGUGCUUAACACAUGCAAGUCGAGCGGUAAGGCCCCUUCGGGGGUACACGAGCGGCGAACGGGUGAGUAACACGUGAGCAAUCUGCCCAUCACAUCGGGAUAACUCCCGGAAACCGAAGCUAAUACCGAAUACGACCACCUCCGGCAUCGGAUGGUGGUGGAAAGUUCCGGCGGUGAUGGAUGAGCUCGCGGCCUAUCAGCUUGUUGGUGGGGUAACGGCCCACCAAGGCUUCGACGGGUAGCCGGCCUGAGAGGGUGACCGGCCACACUGGGACUGAGACACGGCCCAGACUCCUACGGGAGGCAGCAGUGGGGAAUAUUGGACAAUGGGCGAAAGCCUGAUCCAGCAACGCCGCGUGAGGGAUGACGGCCUUCGGGUUGUAAACCUCUUUCAGCAGGGACGAAGCGCAAGUGACGGUACCUGCAGAAGAAGCACCGGCCAACUACGUG